UAACCGUAGGUGAACCUGCGGUUGGAUCAUUAAAAAGUAAUAAUCCCGUGGAACAGGAUGAGUGGACCGAAAAUGCCUUGCGCUUUUCGAGGACGAAAGUCUCUUGAAGCCUCCUGGUUCUGCGGAUGAAAAUAGGCCCUUACGGGCGAACACCUUUUGUGAACUGUUUCUGUCUCUGGCGGUGGGGUAGAACGCGGGCAACUGCAUCUAUCUGUCAGCUCGGGCAACCGGGCCGUGGACAAACCGCCAACCACUUGCUUGAACCUAGCUUACUAUUUUAUUGUCUGACAUUCUAUUUGUAUAAAAUAUACAAACAACUUUUGGCAACGGAUCUCUUGGCUCUC
RNAcentral lists this unclassified non-coding RNA (344 nucleotides) under root metagenome. RNAcentral's name for it is "partial contains small subunit ribosomal RNA, internal transcribed spacer 1, and 5.8S ribosomal RNA". The record is from RNAcentral.